Molecule: non-coding RNA, 54 nt
Organism: Salmo salar (Atlantic salmon)
Lineage: Eukaryota; Metazoa; Chordata; Actinopteri; Salmoniformes; Salmonidae
Source: Rfam
UGCACACACUACUGAAAGUCGCUCUAGAUAAGAGCAUCUGCUAAAUGGCCUAAA